Molecule: ribosomal RNA, 247 nt
Filed under: uncultured Eubacteriales bacterium
Lineage: Bacteria; Bacillati; Bacillota; Clostridia; Eubacteriales
Description: uncultured Clostridiales bacterium partial 16S ribosomal RNA
Rfam family: Bacterial small subunit ribosomal RNA
Source: RNAcentral
CACGCCGUAAACGAUGAAUACUAGGUGUCGGGGGUAUCGACUCCCCCUGUGCCGCAGCUAACGCAUUAAGUAUUCCACCUGAGUAGUACGGUCGCAAGACUGAAACUCAAAGGAAUUGACGGGGACCCGCACAAGCAGUGGAGUAUGUGGUUUAAUUCGAGGCAACGCGAAGAACCUUACCAAGGCUUGACAUCCCGCGACAAACGUGGAAACACGUCUUCCCCUUCGGGGGCGCGGAGACAGGUGG